GACGAACGCUGGCGGCGUGCUUAACACAUGCAAGUCGAACGGUAAGGCCCUUCGGGGUACACGAGUGGCGAACGGGUGAGUAACACGUGGGUGAUCUGCCCUGCACUUCGGGAUAAGCCUGGGAAACUGGGUCCAAUACCGGAUAGGACCACUGCCUGCAUGGGUGGUGGUGGAAAGCUUUUGCGGUGUGGGAUGGGCCCGCGGCCUAUCAGCUUGUUGGUGGGGUGAUGGCCUACCAAGGCGACGACGGGUAGCCGGCCUGGGAGGGUGACCGGCCAAACUGGGACUGAGAUACGGCCCAGACUCCUACGGGAGGCAGCAGUGGGGAAUAUUGCACAAUGGGCGCAAGCCUGAUGCAGCGACGCCGCGUGAGGGAUGACGGCCUUCGGGUUGUAAACCUCUUUCAGCACCGACGAAGCGCAAGUGACGGUAGGUGCAGAAGAAGGACCGGCCAACUACGUGCCAGCCGCCGCCGUAA
This 478-nucleotide ribosomal RNA is filed under the name uncultured bacterium. RNAcentral describes it as "partial 16S ribosomal RNA". It matches the Rfam family "Bacterial small subunit ribosomal RNA", at positions 28 to 523 of the family's 1533-position model. The record is from RNAcentral.